CGCCGAGGGAGUGGGGCCGGCAGGGCGCGGGGAAGGGAGACAGCGGCGCGCUCCUUUUGUCUUCCUCCCCCAGCCCCCAAGUUCGGGAAAGUUUUCCUUUUGGGAAAGCCCCUCUCACGCCUGCCUGCUGGCAGGUGCCGGAUUGGUCAAACAAGGAGGAUUCCUCUGUGGGCCGAGUCUUCUCGGAGUCGCCAAACCUCCAGAUGGUGGAGUGGGGGCGAGGAGGUGUUGGGAACGGGGUCUGGCUCCCCUGGAGGGAGGAGUGGAUGAUAAACCUGUCAUACCGGAAUGACUUCAAGUGUUUACUCCCGUUAUUUGGGAUCUGCUUCUCUCCCUCUUCUUCUUUCUGUAGGUAUGUCUGUAGAGAAAUUGAAAAAUCACCUUGGGAGUCCAUGCCUCUAACUCCAGAUGGUGCACUUCCAGUGUCUGAAUUCUACUCCUCCAUGUGUUCCUGGCACCUCACCUGAUGUCUGGGCCCCUGUGGCCACUUGAUACAGGAUCUCCGGGAAUUCACUGAAAGGAAGAGAGGACUGGAGAACCAGGCUUAGGAAAGAAAAGGCAGCCCCGGAAGUUCUCAGUGGCGGAGGUCUGCAGGACAGUGUUGCAACACGACCAUUGCUGGUAAGAAUGACUCUCUCUCUUUCCUCUUUCCACUUUCACUCUGAUCAAGACUCAGUGUCCUGGGAGAACAGGGCCAAAUUCAGGCUAGGCCAGGGGCUUGCUCCUUAGCUGUACUGGAAUCGUGAGUGGGAGAAAUUGAAGGAAAAAAGCCUUCAGGGGUUUCCUGGGUUUCUAGCAGACACUAGGGUGUAUCAAGGCAGUUGAGGAACUCUCAAGAAAUGAAUGGAUCUUGAUGAGUUAAAACUAUGAUAAAUAUUAGCACUUAUACUUACUUGUUAACACAGACUUGCUAUCAAAUUCCAGCACUGCCAGUGACUAAUUGGAUGGUCUUAUACAAAUUUUCUAACCUCUGUAGGUGCUAUUUUUUCCUCACCUACAAAAUGGGGAUACUAAUACAUGGUGGUUUUAAGGAUUAAAUUAAAUAAGGUGCGUCAUAUGAAAGGUGCUUAUUACAGUGUUUCAUAGUAGCUACUCAAUAAAUAAUAGCUCUUAUUGAUUGAUCUAUGUGCACACACCAUGAGGCUAUUCUAUGUAUAUGGAGCAAAAAAGCAGCAAUUAUUAUUGCUGCUCUUGAACAGCUUGCAGUUUAAUUAGAAAAAAGAACACAUAUGAUUUAACUUAACCUUCACAAGUACCCUAGAAUUCGGCAGAGAUAUUUUUAUCAUCUCAGUUUUUCAUAUGAACAAUCAGAGAUUCAGAGAAGUUUAGCAACUUGACAGUAGUCACACAGCUCUUAAGUGGCAGAGCUGAACCUUGAGUUGAGGUUUAUUGGGUCCAAUGCUCUUUACAUUCGUAGAAAUGGGUGUAGCUCAGUGAAGGGUAUUGUAACUUAACUCAUUUAAAUUCCAAUCAGCAAACUUUAUCGAAUAUCUGCUAUAACAGAUCAAUAUGCUAGGUGCUAUGAGGAAAUAUGAAUAUAAUUAAUACAUAGACCCUGAUUUCAAGAAAGUUACAGUCUAGGGAAAAAGAUGGACACAUACGCCACUUAUGGAAAUACAAGAUAAUACAUGAUAAAUGCUGUGGUUUUCAUUUCUUAUGGAAUGUGUCAGGCUCUUUAUUAGGUGCUGAGGAUUUGGUGAUGAACAGAGCCAUAAGCAACCUGUCCUCAAGGGGCUUACAUGUUGUUAGAAGGUGACAUAGAAGAACAUAAAGGAAAUAUACACAUAAACUAGUUUUAGAUAUCCAUAGUGAUGGGCUAGAAAGAAAAUGAAGAGAGUUUUGUGAUAAUGAAUUGGUGCUGAGUACUUUCUUUUUUAAAUUUUUUUUUCUUUUUUUAGAGACAGGGUCUCACUCUGUUACCCAGGCUGGAAUGCAGUGGUGCAAUCAUAGCUCACUGCAAUCUCCAACUCCCAGGCUCAAGCAAUUCUCCUGCCUCUGCCUCCCGAGCAGCUGGGACUACAAGCAUGUGCCACCAUGCACACCUAAUUUUUUAAUUUUUUGUAAAGAUGGCAUCUCACUAUGUUACCCAGACUGGUCUUGGACUCCUGGCCUCAAGUGAUUAUCCCGCUUCAGAGUCCCAAAAUGUUGGGAUUACAGGCAUGAGCCACCAUACCUGGCCAGUGUUGGCUACUUUUAAUGGAGUGCUCUUCUGUAGACCUAAAGAAGUCAAGCAUGUGAAGUUAUGUGGGAAGUGUAUUCUAGGCAGAGGGAGCAGUAGUACAAAGACCAUGAGGUGGGGAUGAACUUGGAGUUUUGCAGAACAAAAAUGAGACUGUGUGACAGGAACAUAGAGAGUAGGGAGAACAGUGGUACACAUGAGAUCUAGAGAUGUAGGUAGGAACCAAAAAAAAAAAAAUGCAGAUCCUUGUACACCACACUUAGAAGUGGUUAAUCUAUUAUUCUGAGUUUAGUGGAAGCCCAUAAAAUUUAAGCAGGGAAAUGAUAUUAUUUGAUGUGUUUUAUGAGAAAGACCACACUCCCUGCUAUGAAGAAAUUUAAUGUUCACCUGGGGCAUUUAAGAAGAGAAAGAGUAAUACUACUUUGAAAAAGCAGAGAGAGCAGGCACCUGGAGUCCCAACUACUCAGCUACUUGGGAGGCUGAGGUGGGAGAAUUACCAAACUAUUACCUGAGCAUGAGUCUAGGAGUUUGAGACUUUAGUGUGCUGUGUUCACGCUUGUGAGUAGCCAUGAUACUCCAGCCUGGGCAACAAUUAGACCCCCGUCUCUAAGAGAGAAGUUAGUGGAGGCAUUGAGAAGGAGGGAGUGCUCUGACUAAUGGGAUGGGUGGGUCAGGUAUUCCAGGAAUAGGAGACACCAUUAGCGAAGAAACAGAAUUAGGAAGCAUGAAGUGUGUUUGCACAACAGUGAAUUUUCCGGUGUGGCUGGAGCAUCCAAUGUGAGGGGAGGAUGUAAUGAAAUGGAACCAGGGAAGAAAGUGGGUUCCGGGCUAUGUCUUGACAACAUUCUGUAGGCAGCUGGAAACUGUUCUGUAUUUUAGCAAGAUGAUGCUGGUGACUGCAUGAAGGAUAUUAGUGUAGGCAAGAAUACCUUUGGUGAGGUGCAUGCACUAGGUCACGUGAGAGAUGGUGAGGGCUGGGUAGUGAGAAUGGGAGGAAGGAGACAGAGACAAGAGCUACUGACAUGAGGAGCUGACAGUACUUGGUGGUGAACUGGGUCUCAGAGGUGAAGGGGAGGGAGACUCUGAAGACAUCUACAAUUCAAGUUAGGGGUGCCCUUUUCUGCAAGAGGAAGGUUGGAGGAUAGGGUGGAGAUUUCAGUUUUGAACGAGUCGAAUGCGAGGUUUUGGCAGGACUUCCACAUGAUGAUGAUGAUGCCGGAGAGACAGCUGGAAAGGCAGAGUUAGAGCUUAGGAAGUUUGGCCUUUAAGAGCACACCUAUCCCAACUAAUUUCUUAUAAUCUGUGAAAAAAUUUGUGAAUUUUAAGAUAUUUGCUAUUUUCAAGAAGACAUAAGUUUCACAAGUGUUUGUCAGAACCAACUGGCAUUUUCUACCGAAAGGAAAGGUUUUCUUCUUCGAAAAACAGAAUGUUCAGUAAAGGGAAAGCUGCUUGAUGGUUUCGACUUCCUUUUCUUGCUUUGGAAGCCGAGUUAUCAGACUUGUUCAAGCCUGAGGAAGAACAUUAGAGAAGAUUAUAGCACAGUCUUAGUGUUAUAAAAGGAAAAAAGGUCUUGUUCAAAUAAUAAAAUAAUGGAGAGAUGGAUGGUCUCUCAUGUCCCUUCAGGGGGUAAUAGGAGGGAAUAGAAGAAAGCAAAAUUUUUCAAGGAAUUUAUGUUUGAUUAUUUUGAUAGCUCUAGAAAAAGUAUCAGGCACAAAAGACUAGUUCUGGGGGGUGAUAUAAAUUGCUAGAUGAUAAAAAAAGAUGUCAAUAAGAGAUAAAGGAACUCUUUGUGAGAAAGGGACUCUGGAAAUAAACGGCUCUUUGCAGUGCCAAGUUGAACAAACUACGAAACAAAAUGGAAGGUUUGUGUUCAAUGCUAGUCACAACAAGGGUAGGAGCCUUAUUCUCUCCAUUUCUUUGCCUUGUCAUUAUUAUUAUUAUUAGAAAGUUAUUAUAACUUUCUUAACAGUUGCAUUUUUUCACUCAUGGAACAGGUAAUAGUAUUUUUUGCUGAUGCUAAUUUGAAGGUAUGGAGCCAGUGGUGGGGAGUCACCUAAUUUACCAACAAAGGUCAUUUUUAAUUGCUAUCUCCAGUGUCUCAGGACUACAUCGUUGCUUAUCCAACAUGACUCAGCCUUGGUGUUGGCACUGACUCAUGGAGCUCCUGACAGAGGAGAAUUAGUGUCACAGAUUGACUGGGAAACCAAUUCACAUGAAGCCAAGAAGAGAAAUGGGGCUGCUGUUGCUGAAUCCGCAGCCGACCUUAAUGAUGCAGGCGAGGAAAAACGCCCAUUCUGAGGGAGAUCAGUUAAUUUUGCACUGUGUUUGAUGUUGCUAUUAUUGUAGUGACUAUUGCCUUUCUGUUUUAUAUUUAUUCAUCUAAAUUGUUUUGGAAGGACUCAGAGGUCUAGAGACAUGCAUACUCUUUGCAAAAAAGCAUCAUAUUGUAGUGGAGGUAGUCCAGACUAUAGGAAUCUUAUUUGCCGUGUCUUGGGCAAGUUGCUUGACCUCUGAUCAUUGUUUCUUUUAUCUAUCAUUAUAUUGCCUCUGUAUUUCAGACUCACUCUGUAUCAGGCACUUAUUUACUCUUAUAGCAAGCUCAGGAGGAAAAUACAAUUGCCUUUGUUUUACAAGUGAAGGAACUGUAAAUUUUCCAAGGACACAUUGCUACUAAAUAAUAAAUGUGAAAUUUUAACUGUUUCCAUUUCUUCCCAGAGCCAGUGCUCUUUAACUACACUCCUGCACUUCUGCUCAUCUGUAAAAUAUGGAUGAUAAUAAACACCUGUC
This is a long non-coding RNA of Microcebus murinus (gray mouse lemur), 4966 nucleotides long. The record is from Ensembl. Lineage: Eukaryota; Metazoa; Chordata; Mammalia; Primates; Cheirogaleidae.